AACAGGAUUAGAUACCCUGGUAGUCCACGCCGUAAACGAUGAGUGCUAGGUGUUGGGGGUUUCCGCCCUCUGUGCCGAAGGUAACCCAAUAAGCACUCCGCCUGGGGAGUACGGCCGCAAGGCUGAAACUCAAAGGAAUUGACGGGGGCCCGCACAAGCGGUGGAGCAUGUGGUUUAAUUCGAAGCAACGCGAAGAACCUUACCAGGUCUUGACAUCCCGCUGAUCGGUGUAGAGAUAUGCCUUUCCUUCGGGACAGCGGUGACAGGUGGUGCAUGGUUGUCGUCAGCUCGUGUCGUGAGAUGAUGGGUUCAGUCCCGCAACGAGCGCAACCCUUGUCGUCAGUUGCCAGCACGUAAAGGUGGGCACUCUGGCGAGACGGCCGGUGAAAGCCGGAGGAAGGUGGGGAUGACGUCAAAUCAUCAUGCCCCUUAUGUCCUGGGCUACACACGUGCUGCAAUGGCCGGUACAACGGGUAGCGAACCCGCGAGGGGGAGCCAAUCCAAAAAACCGGUCUCAGUUCGGAUCGCAGGCUGCAACUCGCCUGCGUGAAGCUGGAAUCGCUAGUAAUCGCGGAUCAGCAUGCCGCGGUGAGUCCGUUCCCGGGCCUUGUACACACCGCCCGUCACACCACGAGAGUCUGCAACACCCGAAGUCGGUGAGGUAACCUUCGGGAACCAGCCGCCGAAGGUGGGGCAGAUGAUUGGGGUGAAGUCGUAACAAGGUAACC
Molecule: ribosomal RNA, 728 nt
Filed under: uncultured bacterium
Lineage: Bacteria
Description: bacterial SSU rRNA
Rfam family: Bacterial small subunit ribosomal RNA
Source: RNAcentral